This 253-nucleotide ribosomal RNA is filed under the name uncultured bacterium. RNAcentral describes it as "partial 16S ribosomal RNA". It matches the Rfam family "Bacterial small subunit ribosomal RNA", at positions 524 to 776 of the family's 1533-position model. The record is from RNAcentral.
UACGUAGGUGGCAAGCGUUGUCCGGAAUUAUUGGGCGUAAAGCGCGCGCAGGCGGCCUUUUAAGUCUGAUGUGAAAUCUUGCGGCUCAACCGCAAGCGGCCAUUGGAAACUGGGAGGCUUGAGUACAGAAGAGGAGAGUGGAAUUCCACGUGUAACGGUGAAAUGCGUAGAUAUGUGGAGGAACACCAGUGGCGAAGGCGACUCUCUGGUCUGUAACUGACGCUGAGGCGCGAAAGCGUGGGGAGCAAACAGG